GGAUAUCAUAGCAAGAAAGCAAAGCAUGGAUAUGAUGAUUGAAGUUGCAGAUGCUAAGACUCAAUAUAUAUACCUUACACCAUUGGAACUCAAUAAGGCAGAACAUCCAAAUGUUUACAUAUACAGGAUGCCUGAUCCAGAAAGAAGAGAGGAUGAUUAGAAGAGAAAUGAAUUAUUUUGAUGAGAGAGAUUGUCAGUACAGACAGUCAUCAAUACAGUGAGAUUCAGUGUUAAAACCAACAAUUUGAUAUUGUUAUAAGUGGCAAAGACAAAUUAUGUGACAUUCAAAUGACUAGUAUUAUAUAUGUACGUAUUUCUGCAUAUACAUACAUAUGUACGUAACAUAUUUCUUGUCCCAUUUUUGUCUUUCCAAUUUGGGAUCUAACAAAGGAUCUAGAAGAAAAUUUCCAGACCAAGUACUAAAGUUUAAAAGGAAAGGGAGUGAAAGUGGAGGGGAUUAUGAAUAAUUUAAUUCUUAUAUUUUUGUUAGAUUUUAAAUUGACAUAAUGAAGUUUAGAAAUGGUAUGUCAUUUCUAAUAAGGCACAUGUUUCAUUCGUGGAGUUUGCUCUUGUUUUCCAUUCACAAUAGUUUCAGUAAUUUGUUCUUAGACAUGAUUUUAGACAUGAUUGCUAGGAAACAUGGAUAUUUUAUGCAUUAAUUUUGAAUUGUGCAUGGUCUUUUCCUUGAUAUUUAAAUAUAUAUAUAUUUUUUUCAAUGAAAGAGUAAUGUAAAUAUAAUUAAGUUUAGUGAACUGCAGCUGUACUUACUUUACACGGACAUUAUUUUCUGUUCUGUUUUGUAACAAUAUUUAUCAGUCAUUCAAUCAUGUAUUGUUCAUUUUUAUAGAUAGAGAAAUGGGAUAAAGUUGGAAAAUAAUUGGAUAAAACCAACUCACGACCAUGAUAACCUAUGCAAUCUCUCUCUUACACCAGUUUAUAUACCUGAAUCUGUAUGUUCAAGAAUUGUGGCCUUACUUUAUAUCUAAAAAUAUUAAAAUUUGUAUGUUUGAAACAAUGCUUGAUAUAGGCUUCUAUGAAUAUUAUGCCCUUGGGAAUAACAGUUGUAAUUAAAUAGAUCACAUAUUUACUGUUGUUAGUAACAGCUGGACAUAUAUUUUGGAAAGAGGAACAUAUAACAA
Long non-coding RNA from Penaeus indicus, 1139 nucleotides. RefSeq lists it as uncharacterized. The transcript has 2 exons. The record is from RefSeq and is a predicted model, not a curated record. NCBI's taxonomy places the organism in Eukaryota, Metazoa, Arthropoda, Malacostraca, Decapoda, Penaeidae.